AGUAUCUGUGGAUUAAAGGUGGCUUUUGGGCUGUCGCAGAUGGAUGAGCCUGCGUUGGAUUAGCUAGUUGGUGGAGUAAGGGCCUACCAAGGCUACGAUCCAUAGCUGAUUUGAGAGAAUGAUCAGCCACAUUGGGACUGAGACACGGCCCAAACUCCUACGGGAGGCAGCAGUGAGGAAUAUUGGACAAUGGGGGCAACCCUGAUCCAGCAAWGCCAUGUGUGUGAAGAAGGMMUUAGGGUUGUAAAGCACUUUAGUUGGGGAAGAAAGCUUUGAGGUUAAUAGCCUUGAGGAAGGACGUUACCCAAAGAACCGGCUAACUCCGUGCCAGCAGCCGCGGUAAUACGGGGGGUGCAAGCGUUAAUCGGAAUUACUGGGCGUAAAGGGUCUGUAGGUGGUUUGUUAAGUCAGAUGUGAAAGCCCAAGGCUCAACCUUGGAACUGCAUUUGAUACUGGCAAACUAGAGUACGGUAGAGGAAUGGGGAAUUUCUGGUGUAGCGGUGAAAUGCGUAGAGAUCAGAAGGAACACCAAUGGCGAAGGCAACAUUUUGGACCGAUACUGACACUGAGGGACGAAAGCGUGGGGAUCAAACAGGAUUAGAUACCCUGGUAGUCCACGCUGUAAACGAUGAGUACUAGCUGUUGGAGUCGGUGUAAAGGCUCUAGUGGCGCAGCUAACGCGAUAAGUACUCCGCCUGGGGACUACGGCCGCAAGGCUAAAACUCAAAGGAAUUGACGGGGACCCGCACCAGCGGUGGAGCAUGUGGUUUAAUUCGAUGCAACGCGAAGAACCUUACCUGGUCUUGACAUCCUGCGAUCUUUCUAGAGAUAGAUUGGUGCCUUCGGGAACGCAGUGACAGGUGCUGCACGGCUGUCGUCAGCUCGUGUUGUGAAAUGUUGGGUUAAGUCCCGCAACGAGCGCAACCCCUAUUGAUAGUUACCAUCAAUAAGUUGGGUACUCUAUUGAGACUGCCGCUGACAAGGCGGAGGAAGGUGGGGACGACGUCAAGUCAUCAUGGCCCUUACGACCAGGGCUACACACGUGCUACAAUGGGUAUUACAGAGGGCUGCGAAGGAGCGAUCUGGAGCGAAACUCAAAAAGGUACUCUUAGUCCGGAUUGCAGUCUGSAACUCGACUGCAUGAAGUCGGAAUCGCUAGUAAUCGCAGGUCAGAAUACUGCGGUGAAUACGUUCCCGGGUCUUGUACACACCGCCCGUCACACCAUG
RNAcentral lists this ribosomal RNA (1227 nucleotides) under uncultured Francisella sp. Its description in RNAcentral is "bacterial SSU rRNA". It matches the Rfam family "Bacterial small subunit ribosomal RNA", at positions 189 to 1406 of the family's 1533-position model. Lineage: Bacteria; Pseudomonadati; Pseudomonadota; Gammaproteobacteria; Thiotrichales; Francisellaceae. The record is from RNAcentral.